RNAcentral lists this ribosomal RNA (253 nucleotides) under uncultured bacterium. RNAcentral describes it as "partial 16S ribosomal RNA". It matches the Rfam family "Bacterial small subunit ribosomal RNA", at positions 524 to 776 of the family's 1533-position model. The record is from RNAcentral.
UACGGAGGGGGCUAGCGUUGUUCGGAAUCACUGGGCGUAAAGGGUGCGUAGGCGGGUCUUUAAGUCAGGGGUGAAAUCCUGGAGCUCAACUCCAGAACUGCCUUUGAUACUGAAGAUCUUGAGUUCGGGAGAGGUGAGUGGAACUGCGAGUGUAGAGGUGAAAUUCGUAGAUAUUAGCUAGAACACCAGUGGCGAAGGCGGCCAACUGGUCCGGCACUGACGCUGAGGUGCGAAAGCGUGGGGAGCAAACAGG